UACGAAGGGGGCUAGCGUUGCUCGGAAUCACUGGGCGUAAAGCGCACGUAGGCGGCUUUUUAAGUCAGAGGUGAAAUCCUGGAGCUCAACUCCAGAACUGCCUUUGAUACUGGAGAGCUUGAGUCCGGGAGAGGUGAGUGGAACUGCGAGUGUAGAGGUGAAAUUCGUAGAUAUUCGCAAGAACACCAGUGGCGAAGGCGGCUCACUGGCCCGGUACUGACGCUGAGGUGCGAAAGCGUGGGGAGCAACAGGAUUAAGAA
Molecule: ribosomal RNA, 260 nt
Filed under: uncultured bacterium
Lineage: Bacteria
Description: partial 16S ribosomal RNA
Rfam family: Bacterial small subunit ribosomal RNA
Source: RNAcentral